This 75-nucleotide transfer RNA is filed under the name Metamycoplasma arthritidis 158L3-1. RNAcentral describes it as "tRNA-Gln (TTG) (tRNA-Gln-TTG-1-1)". It matches the Rfam family "tRNA". From Rfam's summary of the family: Transfer RNA (tRNA) molecules are approximately 80 nucleotides in length. Their secondary structure includes four short double-helical elements and three loops (D, anti-codon, and T loops). Further hydrogen bonds mediate the characteristic L-shaped molecular structure. tRNAs have two regions of fundamental functional importance: the anti-codon, which is responsible for specific mRNA codon recognition, and the 3' end, to which the tRNAs corresponding amino acid is attached (by aminoacyl-tRNA synthetases). tRNAs cope with the degeneracy of the genetic code in two manners: having more than one tRNA (with a specific anti-codon) for a particular amino acid; and 'wobble' base-pairing, i.e. permitting non-standard base-pairing at the 3rd anti-codon position. Lineage: Bacteria; Bacillati; Mycoplasmatota; Mycoplasmoidales; Metamycoplasmataceae. The record is from RNAcentral.
UGCCCUUUAGCCAAGUGGAAAGGCAGCGGUUUUUGGCACCGUCAUUCGUUAGUUCGAAUCUAACAAGGGCAGCCA